Molecule: ribosomal RNA, 292 nt
Filed under: uncultured bacterium
Lineage: Bacteria
Description: partial 16S ribosomal RNA
Rfam family: Bacterial small subunit ribosomal RNA
Source: RNAcentral
GUGCCAGCAGCCGCGGUAAGACAGGGGUCUCGAGCGUUAAUCGGAAUUACUGGGCUUAAAGGGUGCGUAGGCCGGCCCGCAAGUGACUUGUGAAAUCCCCCGGCUCAACCGGGGAACAGCUCGUCAUACUGCGGGUCUUGAGGAAGGUAGGGGUUGCCAGAACUGUAGGUGGAGCGGUGAAAUGCGUAGAUAUCUACAGGAAUGCCGAUGGUGAAGACGGGCAACUGGGCCUUUCCUGACGCUGAGGCACGAAAGCGUGGGGAGCAAACAGGAUUAGAUACCCUGGUAGUCC